AGUUGGCCUCAUAAAUCUUGGUAUCCUUGGUAUGGGAGCUGCUGUAACAUCCCCAGUCCUGUUACUAAUAAUUUCUACUUUAGAUUGUGGCUCUUCCAUAGAUGGAUGGGAAGCUUCCAGUUGCUCAUUGGAAGAUGAUAUGGUCCUCGUGAGAUUUUCUAAUCUUUCAUUCAACUUAUCAAUCUUUCUUCUAAUAUUUUGACGUUCAGCUUCAAUCCAUUCAAUCUUCUGCUGCAGAUUGGUCAUUGCAAGUUCCUUCUGGUCCCUUAUUUCCUGCUUUCCAAUUGUUGAACACAGUAGCAAGAACUAAAUUUCAGAUUUAAAUUUACAAGGAGACGGAAGCAUUUUUCUGCAUGAGGCCACAAGAUGAGAUAUCUGAGAUGGAAAUUCUAGAAGUCCCCAAAUACAUCAAUAGUUAGAGUAUUUGUAUUGAUCAGUGUUCUGUUCCAGAUGCAUUCCCUUUUGAUGUAUUUUUUAUACUUCUGAAUAGUAUAAUAGCAUGUUUUCUCAGUUUUCUUAAUGUAUGUGCAUCAGAAAAAUGUUUAAUGUGAAAUACAGCUGCUUCAAAACCAUAGUAUGAAGAAUAAUAGUGUAACUUAUACAAAAAAAAAAAAAAGUACGAAGAAUAAUUGUGUAGUGACUGCAUGAUUGAACUCUCUUUUUCCCUCUAUUACAUACUCAUUGAUUUAGUUAGCACAAAUUGUAAUAUGUUACUAAUUUCUUUUUCAUGUAAUGUGUUGUAUUGUUAAUGUCCAUUCCUCAAAAGAUUAAUGGUCUAAUCCGCAACUACCACAGAUAAUGUGUUACUUUUCUUGAUGGGGAUUAUAUGGAUGAACAACUUGGCGACCUACCCUGUCCUAUAACAAGUUGUUCACAAUCUUAUCAUGGUAUAAAGGUAUUAUAUAACAUGUUUAUAGUUCGAUACCAUUUUUUGAGUUUCAUUGCUAGGAUAGUCUAUAUAACGCCAGACUCAUUACUCAGAAAUAUGGACCAUACAGUUAUUUGAAAGGCGGUUUAAGAAAUGCAACAUUAAGUUAACUUACAGUUGAUUCCUCAGAAACAAGGUGAAUGCUUCGCACCCGUGUUGCAAAAUUCAAAGAACAGACUGUCUCACACAGAUCUUCUUCUUUGGGACUGACAUGGACAAGCAUCAAUGUUUUUGAAUCCUCUCCUGUAAAGAAGAUACAGAAUUAAAGUAAAGAGGAAUAUCUGAAUCAAGAUGUAGAAAUGGAAAAAUCCAUGCACAUGACCUGUGCACUGACAACGCUAGGUCUUCUGCUUAGAUAAAAGUGGUCAUCGGGUGAGAAGAUACUUUCCUGGCUAGUUUUUGUAAUUAUUAUGGCAUGCAGAAGACUCAGACAAGUUUAAUCUUGUUCUAUCCUAGGUGGCACUUCUGGAAUAACAAGAACAAACUUACUGCAUCUCUACCUAACGUAUGGAGGAAGAUUUGUUUUACUUCUUUCCUCUCUUGAAUAUACCUCUUUAAGUAUAUAGUAAGACUAUUGUUUAGUCACUGGCUAGUUGGUUCAUGAUGAACAGAAAAUAUGGAGUUCAGUGAAGAAGAAUAUAUUACCGAGGGAAUCUUUAAGAACUUGUGUCAGCUUGCUAUUCCUGUCAAAAGUGAAAAACUUCUAAUUCAGGGUUUACUCUAUAAUGCUGGGGGAGUUCCACUGGCUAGUGAACCCUAAUUGACAGAUUGAAACCUUGACAAAUGAAGCAUUAACAUUCUAUAUAAUGUUUGGAAGCUUGUAGUUUGCUUUAAAAUCUUUCUGCUUUUCUUUCUUAUACUAAGAGUGGGUUGCCAUAAAGCAAGUUGGUUUUAUGGCAAGUCACUUCUUUGCUUUGGUUCAUUCUAACCAAACCAAGUGUACUUUGGAUAGCUUUCAUGAAAUUAACAAAUAUGAGGAAUUUUUUGUUGCCUGUAGGGUAUGUGGCGCCUUUUUCUUUGGAGCGCAUUGAUGACAUGUCCAAGCGCUGAAAGUGAUAGAUUGAUGGCUUUUCCUUCUUCAAGUCUUCUCC
Molecule: long non-coding RNA, 2019 nt
Filed under: Vitis vinifera (wine grape)
Lineage: Eukaryota; Viridiplantae; Streptophyta; Magnoliopsida; Vitales; Vitaceae
Description: long non-coding RNA (VVIN_LNC001647)
Source: RNAcentral